GACGAACCGUGCGAACGUUGUUCGGAAUCACUGGGCUUAAAGGGCGCGUAGGCGGCAGAUCAAGUCCGGGGUGAAAUCCUCCAGCUCAACUGGAGAAGUGCCUUGGAUACUGAUUUGCUCGAGGGAGGUAGGGGUCGAGGGAACUUCUGGUGGAGCGGUGAAAUGCGUUGAUAUCAGAAGGAACGCCGGUGGCGAAAGCGCUCGACUGGAUCUCUUCUGACGCUGAGGCGCGAAAGCUAGGGGAGCAAACAGG
This 253-nucleotide ribosomal RNA is filed under the name uncultured bacterium. RNAcentral's name for it is "partial 16S ribosomal RNA". It matches the Rfam family "Bacterial small subunit ribosomal RNA", at positions 524 to 776 of the family's 1533-position model. The record is from RNAcentral.